ACAAGCUGAGAAACGGCUAGUAGGACUAAGGUCUGCAGCAGGCGCGAAACUUACACAAUGCUAGAUUACAAUUAGCGAUGUAGUGAAGAAAAAUAACGAUGUACUUCCUUCUAAACAAGGCAGUACAAUUGGAAUGAGACGACUAUAAACCAGUUAGUCGAGUAACAAAUGGAGGGCAAGUCUGGUGCCAGCAGCCGCGGUAAUUCCAGCUCCAUUAGCAUACAUUAAAGUUGUUGCGGUUAAAAAGCUCGUAGUUGAAUUUUAGGCGGGCUCUAUUGGGAUGCAAUCGUUAAGACCUACUUGGUUUCGGCUAAGUUAGGUUGGUUGUCAUCGCCCUAUAGGAACCCGCUGUUUCGUCACUUAAUCGAGUGCGAAGCGGGCUGGUACAAGGAUUCAAUAUUCGCUAUUGUCCUGUUUCAGCAUGUUUACCUUGAGAAAAUUAGAGUGCUCACAGCAGGCAGUUGGGGUGUAAAAGCUCCUUUAUGCUUGAAUAAUGUUGCAUGGAAUAAUAGAAUACGGCCUCGGUUCUAUUCUGUUGGUCUUAUAGAACAACAAACAAGUUGGUUAAAGCGAUCAAAAGUUCAUUUGCGGAUGUGGUUCACUGGUUGCUUUUUAGUUGCUGGCUUUAACUACUGUCUAGUUGUGUUACCUAGGGCCUUAAAAUCUUAGCGUCUCACUAGCUUUUUGUUGGCCUUCUUUACUACCUAGUUUUGCCUUUGUUCCAUUUAAAGCAUCCCUUAUUGGGCUAGCUUUCUAAUCAACUGAGGCAAUGGUUAAAAGAAAUAGUCGCGGCGGCAUCAGUACUGCAUCGUGAGAG
RNAcentral lists this ribosomal RNA (817 nucleotides) under Dialox sp. 18sr87. Its description in RNAcentral is "bacterial SSU rRNA". It matches the Rfam family "Eukaryotic small subunit ribosomal RNA", at positions 389 to 910 of the family's 1831-position model. Lineage: Eukaryota; Metazoa; Arthropoda; Arachnida; Trombidiformes; Diptilomiopidae. The record is from RNAcentral.